UGGAACCUCAGCUUUUGGUUCUGUUGCUGAUUGUUUCUUUGGUGGCUUCCAAAAAUGAUGAUACAAACAGUAGCAGCUGCAAUACCAAAGGAGCAAAUUGCUCCAAUCCCAUUCAAGCUCCACUUCCAUAAAUUAAAGCCACUAUUAUUCUCCUCCCAAUUAACCUCUUCCACUUCCAUAAUUUCUUUUUCAUUCUUGGUUCUUGGGGAACUAAUCUUGGUUUCCAAGGCAUCACCUGUAUCCUCAAAGUUAAACUUGCCAGCAUCA
RNAcentral lists this unclassified non-coding RNA (267 nucleotides) under Hevea brasiliensis (rubber tree). The record is from RNAcentral. Lineage: Eukaryota; Viridiplantae; Streptophyta; Magnoliopsida; Malpighiales; Euphorbiaceae.